This 499-nucleotide ribosomal RNA is filed under the name uncultured Glomus. Its description in RNAcentral is "SSU rRNA". It matches the Rfam family "Eukaryotic small subunit ribosomal RNA", at positions 569 to 1074 of the family's 1831-position model. Lineage: Eukaryota; Fungi; Glomeromycota; Glomeromycetes; Glomerales; Glomeraceae. The record is from RNAcentral.
AGCAGCCGCGGUAAUUCCAGCUCCAAUAGCGUAUAUUAAAGUUGCUGCAGUUAAAAAGCUCGUAGUUGAAUUUCGGGACCAUCAUGUCGGUCGUGCCUCGGUACGUACUGGCAUUGUUGGUUUCUACCUUCUGACGAACCAUGAUGUCAUUUAUUUGGUGUCGUGGGAAAUCAGGACUGUUACUUUGAAAAAAUUAGAGUGUUUAAAGCAGGCUCACGCUUGAAUACAUUAGCAUGGAAUAAUGAAAUAGGACGUUUGAUUCUAUUUUGUUGGUUUCUAGGAUCGACGUAAUGAUUAAUAGGGAUAGUUGGGGGCAUUAGUAUUCAAUUGUCAGAGGUGAAAUUCUUGGAUUUAUUGAAGACUAACUACUGCGAAAGCAUUUGCCAAGGAUGUUUUCAUUAAUCAAGAACGAAAGUUAGGGGAUCGAAGACGAUCAGAUACCGUCGUAGUCUAACCAUAAACUAUGCCGACUAGGGAUCGGAUGAUGUUAAUUUUUAAU